This 1011-nucleotide ribosomal RNA is filed under the name Escherichia coli. RNAcentral's name for it is "partial 23S ribosomal RNA". It matches the Rfam family "Bacterial large subunit ribosomal RNA", at positions 180 to 1230 of the family's 2925-position model. The record is from RNAcentral. Lineage: Bacteria; Pseudomonadati; Pseudomonadota; Gammaproteobacteria; Enterobacterales; Enterobacteriaceae.
CGAACCGGGGGAACUGAAACAUCUAAGUACCCCGAGGAAAAGAAAUCAACCGAGAUUCCCCCAGUAGCGGCGAGCGAACGGGGAGCAGCCCAGAGCCUGAAUCAGUGUGUGUGUUAGUGGAAGCGUCUGGAAAGGCGCGCGAUACAGGGUGACAGCCCCGUACACAAAAAUGCACAUGCUGUGAGCUCGAUGAGUAGGGCGGGACACGUGGUAUCCUGUCUGAAUAUGGGGGGACCAUCCUCCAAGGCUAAAUACUCCUGACUGACCGAUAGUGAACCAGUACCGUGAGGGAAAGGCGAAAAGAACCCCGGCGAGGGGAGUGAAAAAGAACCUGAAACCGUGUACGUACAAGCAGUGGGAGCACGCUUAGGCGUGUGACUGCGUACCUUUUGUAUAAUGGGUCAGCGACUUAUAUUCUGUAGCAAGGUUAACCGAAUAGGGGAGCCGAAGGGAAACCGAGUCUUAACUGGGCGUUAAGUUGCAGGGUAUAGACCCGAAACCCGGUGAUCUAGCCAUGGGCAGGUUGAAGGUUGGGUAACACUAACUGGAGGACCGAACCGACUAAUGUUGAAAAAUUAGCGGAUGACUUGUGGCUGGGGGUGAAAGGCCAAUCAAACCGGGAGAUAGCUGGUUCUCCCCGAAAGCUAUUUAGGUAGCGCCUCGUGAAUUCAUCUCCGGGGGUAGAGCACUGUUUCGGCAAGGGGGUCAUCCCGACUUACCAACCCGAUGCAAACUGCGAAUACCGGAGAAUGUUAUCACGGGAGACACACGGCGGGUGCUAACGUCCGUCGUGAAGAGGGAAACAACCCAGACCGCCAGCUAAGGUCCCAAAGUCAUGGUUAAGUGGGAAACGAUGUGGGAAGGCCCAGACAGCCAGGAUGUUGGCUUAGAAGCAGCCAUCAUUUAAAGAAAGCGUAAUAGCUCACUGGUCGAGUCGGCCUGCGCGGAAGAUGUAACGGGGCUAAACCAUGCACCGAAGCUGCGGCAGCGACGCUGAUGCGUUGUUGGGUA